RNAcentral lists this ribosomal RNA (505 nucleotides) under uncultured bacterium. Its description in RNAcentral is "bacterial SSU rRNA". It matches the Rfam family "Bacterial small subunit ribosomal RNA", at positions 29 to 525 of the family's 1533-position model. The record is from RNAcentral.
AACGAACGCUGGCGGCGCGUUUUAAGCAUGCAAGUCGAGCGGCAAGGGUAGCAAUACCCCUAGAGCGGCGGACGGGUGAGUAACACGUGGACAACCUGCCCUUAGGUGAGGGAUAGCCCAGGGAAACCUGGAUUAAUACCUCAUAAGACCACUGAUAGGAGUAUGAGUGGGGAAAGGUGCUACGGCGCCGCCUGAGGAUGGAUCUGCGUCCCAUUAGCUAGAUGGCAGGGUAAAGGCCUACCAUGGCGACGAUGGGUAGCCGGCCUGAGAGGGUGAACGGCCACACUGGAACUGAGAGACGGUCCAGACUCCUACGGGAGGCAGCAGCUAAGAAUCUUCCGCAAUGGGCGCAAGCCUGACGGAGCGACGCCGCGUGAACGAUGAAGGCCGCAAGGUUGUAAAGUUCUUUUCGGGAAGGAGAAUAAGGGGAGCAGGCAAUGGCUUUCCGAUGCCGUGAAUCCCGGAAUAAGCCCCGGCUAACUACGUGCCAGCAGCCGCGGUAAUA